CAACUUUCUGUCCAAAACAAGUUGACGAGUUACACAACCAAAUUGAAAAAGGGAAAAUUCCAUACGCCACACUUUCAUCCCAUUAUGUAAGAUGUGGCACAUUUAUCACCAUAGUGGGAUGAAAGUGUGAUGAGAGUAUGUCUUCCAAUAGUGAUAAAUG
Molecule: long non-coding RNA, 160 nt
Organism: Juglans microcarpa x Juglans regia
Lineage: Eukaryota; Viridiplantae; Streptophyta; Magnoliopsida; Fagales; Juglandaceae
Exons: 3
Source: RefSeq, a predicted model, not a curated record